ACAUUUCCUCCACCAUGAAGACCAUCAUCCUCCUCGCCUGCAUCGCUGCCACCGCAAUGUGUGUGCCUAUGCAGUUUCUGGAGGUGGAACGUACCUAUCUGAGCCCUCAGCGACAGAUGGAGGCUGGACCUUCACAUCACACCAGUGUGGAAUAUCUAAUUCCUUUGGAAAGACAGCGCCCCUCAGCCACACUAGGAGUGGUCCCACAUGUUGCUGCAGCUCAGCCCAGAUCUCUCUUCCCAUCUCAGGCCUUCAUCAAACACGAGAUUCCUCAGGCUCCAGGAAGAGCUAGUGUUGAGGUGGUAAGUACAGGUUCAUUAGUUCUAUUCACUUUCUGUAGAGAAACCCAUGCAUCAGUGUUUAGGUAUUAG
Molecule: long non-coding RNA, 371 nt
Filed under: Astyanax mexicanus (Mexican tetra)
Lineage: Eukaryota; Metazoa; Chordata; Actinopteri; Characiformes; Acestrorhamphidae
Description: lncRNA (ENSAMXG00005015200.1)
Source: RNAcentral